This 301-nucleotide ribosomal RNA is filed under the name uncultured bacterium. RNAcentral's name for it is "partial 16S ribosomal RNA". It matches the Rfam family "Bacterial small subunit ribosomal RNA", at positions 509 to 807 of the family's 1533-position model. The record is from RNAcentral.
CAGCCGCCGCGGUAAGACAGAGGAUGCAAGCGUUAUCCGAAAUGAUUGGGCGUAAAGUGUCUGUAGGUGGCUUUUCAAGUCCGCCGUCAAAUCCCAGGGCUCAACCCUGGACAGGCGGUGGAAACUACCAAGCUGGAGUAUGGUAGGGGCAGAGGGAAUUUCCGGUGGAGCGGUGAAAUGCGUUGAGAUCGGAAAAAACACCAACGACGAAAGCACUCUGCUGGGCCGACACUGACACUUAGAGACGAAAGCUAGGGGAGCAAAUGGGAUUAGAUACCCGCGUAGUCCCUGUCUCUUAUAC